This is a long non-coding RNA of Cavia porcellus (domestic guinea pig), 2932 nucleotides long. RefSeq lists it as uncharacterized. Lineage: Eukaryota; Metazoa; Chordata; Mammalia; Rodentia; Caviidae. The record is from RefSeq and is a predicted model, not a curated record. The transcript is spliced from 2 exons.
UUCCCAGCCUUGAAAGACAUAAAGACAUAAAGCCUUAGUAGUUUUCAUUAACUGUUGUUGGAUUCAGUACAUAUUUUUGCAACUAAUAAAGUAAAAAUAUGUGAGCUAUAUAUUAGGAGAUGGUGGAAUAAAGGCAAUCAAGCAAGAAUCCUUGCUCCAAAAGAUUUCACAAUCAAGUGAUAAGAUAUGCAAAUCAGCUAUAUAAUUCAAUAUCAUAAAAUGUCCUCUCUGGGAACCCUGAAGUGUACCAACUGUGAGAUUAGGAAAGCUAAACAAUGAAGGGCUGUUUGCACUACACCUGGGAGUUAGAGAGACUAGCAGGUCAAUGGGGCAUUCUGUAGAGGAAACAGCAAAAGCAACCCCAGCGGUGUCAAGGGAUUAUUCCACAUCAUGUGUUUGGGUAGAGUAUUACCCCUCUGAAGCAUCCAUGUCUCAACUGGGGUCUGUGACUAUUAUCUUUUUGUCUUUUUCUUUUUUAUCGGUACCAGGGAUCGAACUCACAACUGCCUGCUUGCAAGGCAGGUGCUUAUGCUGCUGAGCUAAAUCCCCAGGCCCUGUGACUAUAAUCUGAUAUGCCAAAAGGUACCCUGAGGAUGGGACUGCUCUGCUCUCUCUGUCUCUGUCUCUGUCUCUUUGUCUCUCUCUCUUUGUCUCUCUCUCUCUCUCUCUUUUGAGACAGGAUCUCAUUAGAUAGCCCAGGCUGGCCUCAAAUUCCCUAUGAAGCACAGAUUGACCUUAUACUUAGGAUCCUGCUUCAGCCUCCUGAGUGCUGGGAUUUCAGCUGUAUUAAUAACCUUAAUAUUAUCCACGAUUACCCAGGUGAUGCCUAAAUGUGAUCACAGGUGUUCGGUGUUCUUACCCCUCUUUCACGAAGGAGAGCAGGUCAGCAGGAGGUGCUAUGAGGGAGGACGAAGAGGGAAAGGUGAACUGAAGAGGGCCACAAGCAGAACACGGCGGCCUCUACACCUGGAAAAGUGUAUGUUUGGGACACAUAACAGUUACAUGCAUCUUGGGGAACUGGUACGUAUACACAUCACAUCUUGAUCAGUUUUACUCCCCUUUAUCCCCUUGCAUUCUCCACUCUCCCUCUUUCCCCAGAUCCCCUUCCUCUGGCCAUAGAGUCUGCCUUCCUUUUUCCUGCCAUCUCUGUUUUGUUUUGCUCUUCAUUUAUGCCUUGGUUUUCUCACAUUAGGGAAACCAUGUGAUAUUUAACAUUCUAUAUCUGAUUUAGUUUACUUAACUGUAGGUUUCAAGAUUCAUCCAUUUCCUACAACUGACUCAAAUUUAUUUUUUUUCAUGGCAGAGUAGUACUGUAUUGUAUCUAUAUGCCACAUUUUCUUCAGUCAAUCAUCAGUUGAUAUCGAAUGGGGUAUCACUGUAAUAAGAUGGGAAAAUACCCAAAAGAAAUAUAGCUGGUCAAAUGGAAUUUUUAGUUUUAGUUUUUUGAGAAAUCUCCAUACUGACUUCUAUAGUCUUAUUAGUUUACAUUCCUACCAACAAUGUACAGGGUUCUUUUCUUGUCACAACUGAAAGGUUUUGGCCCAGACAGGACACUGUAGCCAGGAAAGCCACAACCGGAAGCAGGAAGCCCCAUCUUGCCCUGCCCCUAGGAAGUUACCUGUGACGCCAUCUUCCCGCCCCUGGGAAUUUACAUAUGGCGCCAAACCUAGGACCAAUGGGCUACCUGUGUAUCCCUAAUGCCCGCCUUAGGUUCCACCCCAAACCGAGGCUAUUUACAGGCCCCCACGCUGCGUGUCCGCCGGAGAGAUCGCCGGACGCCAGCGGUGGGGUUGCCGGUCAUCUCUCUCCGUGUUCUCAGAAUAAAGGCCGCUUUUUAUUUUAUAUUUCUCAUCUUUUGUUAAUAUUUUUCAUCUUUUGGAAAUAACUCUAUCAACAACUAUAUCAGCAUUUGUUGUUUUUUGAGUCCUGCAUAAUAGCCAUUCUGGCUUUUUUUUUCUUUAAUUUUUAAAAUAAUUUUACCCAUUGUUUUAAAAUUAAAAUGUUGAGCAAGAAAACAUUGUUUCGGGCCAGGGAUUUAGCUCAGCAGCAUAAGCGCCUGCCUUGUAAGCACAAGAUUGUGAGUUCGAUCCCCAGUACAAAAAAAAGAUUGUUUCUUGGGAAAAUAUGCAAAGCUGGAUCAUCCCCCAUCUCUGUAUCACACCCCGAGACCUUAAUUCCAUCAGUACCAUUCCACAGUACCACCUAUCUGGAAAGGUGAAUCCAUCAAAGACCUGUCCAGUCUGGACAAAGCAUUCCCACAGGAAAGCACAGUUCCAUCUGGCUGUGAACAUCGACUCUGUCCAGGGGCUUUGGUACAUUUGGAGUAGACAAAAAUAAUGGCACAAUAAUACAAGUAACAUCCAAGGAAAAAUUUUACCUAAAGAAAGAAAAACUGAGCACUUGCCUGGCAAACUUGAGGUCCUGAAUUUGAUUCCCAGUACAAAAGAAAAAAAAAAAAGUAAAGUAAAAAUAACCAGGCAUGAUAUGUAAUGAUGUUCCAGAAAACAAAAGAAUUCAUUUUUUCUUUUUUAGAAAAUGAAACAGUUCAUUUUUACAAGUCCAUUUAUGUGACCAGAGGUUUGAUAUUUUAAGAAAAAUACCUUAAUAAAAAUAUACUCGGUUCUAAAAGUAGUCUUCAUGGUCAUUUCUGAAAUUCAAGUCACCAUUAUCAAAUUAAAAUAAUGCCACAUAUUUUUGUUUUUUUUUUCAAAGUCCUUACAUCACAAACAAAGCAACUUUACUUUUUUUUGUACUGGAAAUUGAACUCAGGACCUUGUGCUUGAACAAGACAGAACUGAACUCAGACAGGAGCUUAUACUGCUGAGGUAUAUCCCUGGACCUACGUUUUCUGUAAUACAGUACAUUUCCUUGUGACUACACAGACUAUGUAUAUCACUGGUAUUAUGAAUGCAAAGUAAAAGCCUUCAUGGAA